AUCCCAUAGUUAACUAUAGCCAGUACAGCUAUAACAUGGAGGACACGACUGAGGAUCCAGAUGAAUCUAGUUCAGGUACAGUCUCUGAAGCCACCUCCAGUGAAAAGUCAUCUGAGAGCUCAAAUGCAGGAGAAGGAAGGGCCAGAAGCCAGAAACAAAGGUUUCGUCGUCCAGCGAAAGGCACCGCACAUGAAAACCUGCCCGAUAUAAUGAACACAGUUCAAUCUGUGCUUGAAGAAAACUCAGAAGACAAGAAGAAAGGAAGAAAACGCACCAUAUUGGUCUUUUACUACCGGCAGAAUGGUAAAAAGAAACAAAAUCAAAAAAAGAAGAAAGAACAGGUACCAAAAAGAUCUCAGAAUUCAAAUAGUGACUCACCUCUACCUGGAACAUCCCAAGACCCAGGACCCUCUCCAUGUUCUCUUCCAAAACGAGUGCGAAAGUGGUUUUUUCAGUAGAGACCGGUCACUUCACCCAUACAUGAAAAAUGUUUGGGCAUUGUUGAUUACACUGUAAUAAAAUACCUUGUGGAAAUGAAAAACAAAUCUUG
Molecule: long non-coding RNA, 550 nt
Organism: Mus musculus (house mouse)
Lineage: Eukaryota; Metazoa; Chordata; Mammalia; Rodentia; Muridae
Gene: Spanxn4
Product: SPANX family, member N4
Exons: 1
Source: RefSeq, marked validated